RNAcentral lists this transfer RNA (69 nucleotides) under Elateridae sp. 1 ACP-2013. RNAcentral's name for it is "tRNA-Ser". The record is from RNAcentral. Lineage: Eukaryota; Metazoa; Arthropoda; Insecta; Coleoptera; Elateridae.
AAAUAUGAAAAAUUCAAGAUAAAGCUUCUAACUUAAAUCUUUAGCAGUGUAACUCUGUUAAUAUUUCUA